Molecule: ribosomal RNA, 433 nt
Filed under: uncultured bacterium
Lineage: Bacteria
Description: partial 16S ribosomal RNA
Rfam family: Bacterial small subunit ribosomal RNA
Source: RNAcentral
AACGAACGCUGGCGGCAUGCCUAACACAUGCAAGUCGAACGAAACGUCCGGGUUUAGUGGCGCACGGGUGCGUAACGCGUGGGAACAUGCCCUUGGGUUCGGAAUAACUCCCCGAAAGGGGUGCUAAUACCGGAUAGUGUCUUCGGACCAAUGAUUUAUGGCAUUUGGAUGGGCCCGCGUUGGAUUAGCUAGUUGGUAGGGUAAGAGCCGACCAAGGCGAGGAUCCACAGCUGGUUAGAGAGGCUGAUCAGCCACACUGGGACUGAGACACGGCCCAGAAUCCUACGGGAGGGAGCAGUGGGGAAUAUUGGACAAUGGGCGGAGGCCUGAUCCAGCAAUGCCGCGUGAGUGAUGAAGGCCUUGGGGUUGUAAAGCUCUUUUACCCGGGAUGAUAAUGACGGUACCGGGAGAAUAAGCUCCGGCUAACUCCGUG